RNAcentral lists this ribosomal RNA (253 nucleotides) under uncultured bacterium. Its description in RNAcentral is "partial 16S ribosomal RNA". It matches the Rfam family "Bacterial small subunit ribosomal RNA", at positions 524 to 776 of the family's 1533-position model. The record is from RNAcentral.
UACGUAGGGUGCAAGCGUUAUCCGGAAUUAUUGGGCGUAAAGAGCUCGUAGGCGGUUUGUCACGUCUGCUGUGAAAACUGGAGGCUCAACCUCCAGCCUGCAGUGGGUACGGGCAGACUAGAGUGCGGUAGGGGAGAUUGGAAUUCCUGGUGUAGCGGUGAAAUGCGCAGAUAUCAGGAGGAACACCGGUGGCGAAGGCGGGUCUCUGGGCCGAUACUGACGCUGAGGAGCGAAAGCGUGGGGAGCAAACAGG